AGCACAUAUGAUGAGCAUUAAGGGACUUAAUACUGAGUUGAGUACUUGAUGUCUUUUUUUCCAUACUGAUGUGC
Molecule: small nucleolar RNA, 74 nt
Filed under: Lepisosteus oculatus (spotted gar)
Lineage: Eukaryota; Metazoa; Chordata; Actinopteri; Semionotiformes; Lepisosteidae
Description: Small nucleolar RNA SNORD82
Rfam family: Small nucleolar RNA SNORD82
About the family: snoRNA U82 or Z25 is found in both humans and mice.
Source: Rfam by way of RNAcentral